RNAcentral lists this small RNA (72 nucleotides) under Sinorhizobium meliloti 2011. RNAcentral describes it as "putative ncRNA". The record is from RNAcentral. Lineage: Bacteria; Pseudomonadati; Pseudomonadota; Alphaproteobacteria; Hyphomicrobiales; Rhizobiaceae.
AUCAAUUCUCCAGACGCCAUUUGAGUGUCACGCCGCCCUUUUCGUUCUGGUCGAGGGCGGGAAUGGCCGAGA